Molecule: long non-coding RNA, 4245 nt
Filed under: Pelobates cultripes (western spadefoot toad)
Lineage: Eukaryota; Metazoa; Chordata; Amphibia; Anura; Pelobatidae
Source: RNAcentral
UGGAGGUCUUUUGGAAAUAUUUGGAGCCCAUCCUGAAUAGUGAUAGGCCAGGAUCCAAACUCUCUGAGGUGGCAAGACUGCAAUGCUCAAUAAAGGAACAUGUCUGCCUUCCUGACUCAAUUGAAGGUGAUCUGGAGGUCAGUACAAGGACAGUGGAUUGAGACAUUACCUCUGAUUUAUUGGAUUAAGCAUUAGAAAGGAUCGACAGAGUACUAGAUAUACUCAAUGGGGGCUGAGUACCGUUAUGGCAACUUCGCAGAGCUGUAAUAUUCUCAGCUCCUCCAAUAUCAGCUGCUGUGGAGCAGUUACAUUGUAAUGUCUGUAUCCCUUUAGUGUAAAAUAUAUUGGGGGGGUUGGUUAAUUGCCCCCCUCCAGUGUAAGCUGCUGUGUUCCCUGAGUAUUCUACAGACAGCAGUUACAUUGUAAUGUCCAUAUCCUUUUAGUGUAAAAGAUAUUGGGGGGGGGGUUAAUAGCCCCCUCCAGUGUGAGCUGCUGUGUUCCCUGAGUAUUCUACAGACAGCAGUUACAUUGUAAUGUCCGUAUCCCUUUAGUGUAAAAGAUAUUGGGGAGGAUUGGGGGAGGGGCAGGGGGAUACAGAAUUAAUAUAUCUUUUGUUUUUUUGUUUUUAUGUGUUUUUACCCCUACCCCUCACAGCACAGCACCCCUACCUCCAACACAGCACCCCUAUCCCCACAGCACAGCACCCCUACCACCCACAGCAUAGCACCCCCAACACAGCACAGCACCCCUACCCCCAACACAGCACAGCACCCCUACCACCCACAGCACAGCACCCCUACCCCCAACACAGCACAGCACCCCUACCCCAACCUGGUUGUACCCCCACCCCCAGCACAGCUUCCAGCACCCCUACCCUAACUACAGCACAGCACCCUACCCCAACACAGCAGUCUGUGUGUACUCAGCUUAGUCUGUGUGUGUGUGUGUGUGUGUAUGUUCAACUUGGUCUGUGUGUGUGUGUAUGUAUUCAGCAGACUGUGUGUAUUCAGCAGUGUAUGUAUUCAGCAGACUGUGUGUGUAUUCAGCAGUGUAUGUACUCAGCAGUCUGUGUGUACUCAGCCAUCUGUAUGUAUGUGUAUUCAGCGGUCUGUGUGUAUUUAGCAGACUGACUGUGUGUGUAUUUAGCGGUCCGUGUGUGUGUGUGUAUUUAGCGGACCGUGUGUGUAUUUAGCAGACUGUGUGUGUGUGUGUAUUUAGCAGACCGUGUGUGUAUUUAGCAGACCUACUGUGUGUGUAUUUAGCGGACCGUGUGUGUAUUUAGCGGACCGUGUGUGUAUUUAGCGGACCGUGUGUGUAUUUAGCGGACUGUGUGUGUGUGUGUGUAUUUAGCGGAUGGUGUUUAUGUAUUUAGCAGCCGGUGUGUGAAUGUGUUCAGCAGUCUGUGUGUAUGUAUUGCAUUUGUUGGAGAUACUAAUAAAUAUAAGCUGAAUUUUAUCUAUUUAUAUCAUUAUUUAAAAUUUGUAUCAUUGAACUCUCUGUUGUGUUCUUCUUUUAAAACAAAAGUUGUUAAUUAGUUCGGACAACUGUAAAAGUUGUUUUUUCUAAACUUAAAUCUCAGUAUUCAGGUUUAAUUGCCGUGUUGGCACUUUGAGGGAAAAAAAGUUGUCAUGUAUUGCGGUUUGGGCACUCGGGCUCAAAAAGGUUCGCCAUCACUGCUUUAGUGUAAAAGAUAUUGGGGGGUUUUGUUAAUUGCCCCCCCCUCCAGUGUGAGCUGCUGUGUUCCCUGAGUAUUCUACAGACAGCAGUUACAUUGUAAUGUACAUAUCCCUUUAGUGUAAAAGAUAUUGGGGGGUUUGUUAAUUGCCCCAUCCACUGUGAGCGGCUGUGUUCCCUGAGUAUUCUACAGACAUUGUAAUGUCGGUAUCCCUUUAGUGUAAAAGAUAUUGGGGGGGAGUAUGUGGGAGGUUGGUUAAUUGCCCCCCUCCAGUGUGUGCUGCUGAGUUCCCUGUGUAUUCUACAGACAGCAGUUACAUUGUAAUGUUCCUAUACCUUUAGUGUAAAAGAUAUUGGGGGGUUUGGUUAAUUGCCCCCUCCAGUGUGAGCUGCUGUGUUCCCUGAGUAUGCUGCAGACAGCAAUUACAUUGUAAUGUCCGUAUCCCUUUACUGUAAAAGAUAUUGGGGGGAGAGGGGGUUGGUUAAUUGCCCCCUCCAGUGCGAGCUGCUGUGUUCCCUGAGUAUUCUGCAGACAGCAGUUACAUUGUAAUGUCCAUAUCCCUUUACUGUAAAAGAUAUUGGGGGGAGAGGGGUUUGGUUAAUUGCCCCCCUCCAGAGUGAGCUGCUGAGUUCCCUGAGUAUUCUACAGACAGCAGUUACAUUGUAAUGUCUGUAUCCCUUUAGUGUAGAAGAUAUUGAGGCGGUUGGUUAAUUGCCCCACUCCAGUGUGAGCUGCUGUGUUCCCUGAGUAUUCUACAGACAGCAGUUACAUUGUAAUGUCUGUAUCCCUUUAGUGUAAAAGAUAUUGAGGCGGUUGGUUAAUUGCCCCACUCCAGUGUGAGCGGCUGUGUUCCCUGAGUAUUCUACAGACAGCAGUUACAUUGUAAUGUCUGUAUCCCUUUAGUGUAAAAGAUAUUGAGGCGGUUGGUUAAUUGCCCCACUCCAGUGUGAGCGGCUGUGUUCCCUGAGUAUUCUACAGACAGCAGUUACAUUGUAAUGUCUGUAUCCCUUUAUUGUAAAAGAUAUUGGGGGGAGAGGGGUUUGGUUAAUUGCCCCCCUCCAGUGUGAGCGGCUGUGUUCCCUGAGUAUUCUACAGACAGCAGUUACAUUGUAAUGUCUGUAUCCCUUUAGUGUAAAAGAUAUUAGCAGGGCGGUUGGUUAAUUGCCCCACUCAGGUGUGAGCUGCUGUGUUCCCUAUGGUAUUCUACAGACGCUUGAUUUACAUUGGCAAUGUCUGUAUCCUUUAGUGUAAAGAUAUUGAGGCGGUUGGUUAAUUGCCCCACUCCCAGUGUGAACUGGCUACUGUGAUUCCCUGAGUAUUCUACAGACAGCUUGGUUGGUCUGUCUAACUUCUAUUUUGGAUCAGUGGCAGCAACCUGAUAUGCUUGGAUGAGGGCGCGACCUUCACUCACUGACAAUAUUGAGGGCCCCGGUUCUGGGAUAAAUACCUAUAGAAACCACAGUUGCACCAAAUACCUAUACUCCACAUGGCAUAGCAAAGUACAGGAUUCACCCUUCCAAACCCUGUGAUAUACUCAGUAACAUCUAGCAACCAUUUACCUGGUGGAUAGAGCGACUACCAAACACAAAGGGUGGGAGGAAGGGGCCACCAUUUUACACAGAGGGUGGGAGAAGGAGGCCGCCAUUUACACACAGAGGGUGGGAGAAGGGGCAUGUUUACACAGAGGUGGGAGAAGGGGACAUACAUUUGCACAGAGGGGUGGGAGGGAGCCGCCAUUUACAGAGGGUGGGAGAGGGGCAGCCAUUUACACAGAGGGGGUGGGGAGGAAGGGGGGGCCAUUUUACACAAAGGGUGGGAGAAGGGGAGCCACCAUUUACACAGAGGGUGGGAGAAGGGGAGCCGCCAUUUACACAGAGGGUGGGAGAAGGGGAGCCGUCAUUUACACAGAGGGUGGGAGAAGGGGAGCCGCCAUUUACACAGAGGGUGGGAGAAGGGGAGCCGCCAUUUACACAGAGGGUGGGAGAAGGGGAGCCGCCAUUUACACAGAGACUCGGAUGGGCAGAGAGAGUGGUUUCACUGUAGGGUGUAAGUCAGUGCUGGAGCAAAGUGAAUGGUUAAUGGGACUUUAUGGACUACAUGUAGGAAUGUUAUUGGGAGAAAAGAGUUUAAUAGGGAAGAAAGUCUUAAAGGGUUAUUUACUAAAGUGACAAUUCAAGGCGCAUACAAAGUCCGUUUCAAAUAUAACUCAAAAUAGCUGAACUUGAAAAAUUCUUAAUGUCCGCUAUGCUUUCCAUUCAGCUACUCUGACCUUCAAUUUGAAAUUAAUUUAAUUUAGUGACGAACGCUCUCUGUUUCUCACUUUGUAAAGGUACAACGUCAGUUCUGCUCUGUGUCGUCAGGAAACGGGCGGAUUAGCCAUGCAUUCUGCAUUAUGGUUUAACGAUGACAAACAUUUACUCACCCAUUCCUUUAGUAUGUAACCGUCCGUCUUGUUUUGUCUCCCAUAGCUGACACACGCUACGGAAGUGUUUGAAAGAGUCGCAUGUCUGAUGUAUGACUGCCUGGACUGGAGACGCCAACAUCAGCUCUACCUGAACAGCAUGAAGAUC